RNAcentral lists this non-coding RNA (30 nucleotides) under Homo sapiens (human). The record is from RNAcentral. Lineage: Eukaryota; Metazoa; Chordata; Mammalia; Primates; Hominidae.
UGUGGAGAUAAUUAGCAUCAUGAUAGAGGC